UAGCCUUGACAUAGACAGAAUUUAGUAGAGAUAUAAAAGUGCCAGUUUACUGGAGCUGUUAUACAGGUGCUGCACGGCUGUCGUCAGCUCGUGUCGUGAGAUGUUGGGUUAAGUCCCGCAACGAGCGCAACCCUCGUGUCUAGUUACUAACAGUUCGGCUGAGGACUCUAGACAGACUGCCUGGGUAACCAGGAGGAAGGUGAGGACGACGUCAAGUCAUCAUGGCCCUUAUGGCUAGGGCUACACACGUGCUACAAUGGGGUAUACAGAGAGCCGCAAUACCGCGAGGUGGAGCAAAUCUUAAAAAUAUCUCCCAGUUCGGAUAGCAGUCUGCAACUCGACUGCUUGAAGUUGGAAUCGCUAGUAAUCGUGAAUCAGCAAUGUCACGGUGAAUACGUUCCCGGGUCU
This 408-nucleotide ribosomal RNA is filed under the name uncultured bacterium. RNAcentral describes it as "bacterial SSU rRNA". It matches the Rfam family "Bacterial small subunit ribosomal RNA", at positions 976 to 1381 of the family's 1533-position model. The record is from RNAcentral.